UCCCUGGUGGUCCAGUGGCUAAGACCCUGUGCUCCCAAUGCAGGAGGCCCGGGUCCAAUCCCUGGUCAGGGAA
This 73-nucleotide transfer RNA is filed under the name Capra hircus (goat). It matches the Rfam family "tRNA". From Rfam's summary of the family: Transfer RNA (tRNA) molecules are approximately 80 nucleotides in length. Their secondary structure includes four short double-helical elements and three loops (D, anti-codon, and T loops). Lineage: Eukaryota; Metazoa; Chordata; Mammalia; Artiodactyla; Bovidae. RNAcentral also lists the same sequence under 1 other name. The record is from Rfam by way of RNAcentral.